GAUGAACGCUGGCGGCGUGCCUAAUACAUGCAAGUCGAGCGAACGGACGAGAAGCUUGCUUCUCUGAUGUUAGCGGCGGACGGGUGAGUAACACGUGGAUAACCUACCUAUAAGACUGGGAUAACUUCGGGAAACCGGAGCUAAUACCGGAUAAUAUUUUGAACCGCAUGGUUCAAAAGUGAAAGACGGUCUUGCUGUCACCUAUAGAUGGAUCCGCGCUGCAUUAGCUAGUUGGUAAGGUAACGGCUUACCAAGGCAACGAUGCAUAGCCGACCUGAGAGGGUGAUCGGCCACACUGGAGCUGAGACACGGUCCAGACUCCUACGGGAGGCAGCAGUAGGGAAUCUUCCGCAAUGGGCGAAAGCCUGACGGAGCAACGCCGCGUGAGUGAUGAAGGUCUUCGGAUCGUAAAACUCUGUUAUUAGGGAAGAACAUAUGUGUAAGUAACUGUGCACAUCUUGACGGUACCUAAUCAGAAAGCCACGGCUAACUACGUGCCAGCAGCCGCGGUAAUACGUAGGUGGCAAGCGUUAUCCGGAAUUAUUGGGUGUAAAGCGCGCGUAGGCGGUUUUUUAAGUCUGAUGUGAAAGCCCACGGCUCAACCGUGGAGGGUCAUUGGAAACUGGAAAACUUGAGUGCAGAAGAGGAAAGUGGAAUUCCAUGUGUAGCGGUGAAAUGCGCAGAGAUAUGGAGGAACACCAGUGGCGAAGGCGACUUUCUGGUCUGUAACUGACGCUGAUGUGCGAAAGCGUGGGGAUCAAACAGGAUUAGAUACCCUGGUAGUCCACGCCGUAAACGAUGAGUGCUAAGUGUUAGGGGGUUUCCGCCCCUUAGUGCUGCAGCUAACGCAUUAAGCACUCCGCCUGGGGAGUACGACCGCAAGGUUGAAACUCAAAGGAAUUGACGGGGACCCGCACAAGCGGUGGAGCAUGUGGUUUAAUUCGAAGCAACGCGAAGAACCUUACCAAAUCUUGACAUCCUUUGACAACUCUAGAGAUAGAGCUUUCCCCUUCGGGGGACAAAGUGACAGGUGGUGCAUGGUUGUCGUCAGCUCGUGUCGUGAGAUGUUGGGUUAAGUCCCGCAACGAGCGCAACCCUUAAGCUUAGUUGCCAUCAUUAAGUUGGGCACUCUAAGUUGACUGCCGGUGACAAACCGGAGGAAGGUGGGGAUGACGUCAAAUCAUCAUGCCCCUUAUGAUUUGGGCUACACACGUGCUACAAUGGACAAUACAAAGGGCAGCGAAACCGUGAGGUCAAGCAAAUCCCAUAAAGUUGUUCUCAGUUCGGAUUGUAGUCUGCAACUCGACUACAUGAAGCUGGAAUCGCUAGUAAUCGUAGAUCAGCAUGCUACGGUGAAUACGUUCCCGGGUCU
Molecule: ribosomal RNA, 1372 nt
Filed under: uncultured bacterium
Lineage: Bacteria
Description: bacterial SSU rRNA
Rfam family: Bacterial small subunit ribosomal RNA
Source: RNAcentral